Molecule: long non-coding RNA, 1649 nt
Organism: Xyrauchen texanus (razorback sucker)
Lineage: Eukaryota; Metazoa; Chordata; Actinopteri; Cypriniformes; Catostomidae
Exons: 6
Source: RefSeq, a predicted model, not a curated record
AAAGAGGCCCGAGGAGUGAUGUCACAUGGUUCUUGUCUGUAGAGGCAUCUUAUUAUGUAGAGGUUCUUAUCCUUGUUCUUGGUUAUGAAGAGCAGCUGAUCUAUCUUGAGGCAAACUAGUGAUGGAAAUUUGGACAGGGAGAUUUUAGAGAAAAUCAAAUUACACCAUGGACCUCGAUUCCCUUCUGCUACAACUUCAGUUGCUCCAUCUUCACCAACCUCACCAUCUUCUGCCUCUCCUUCAUCUGCACCACCGGUUCCUACCGCUCCACCUGCACCACCCUCAGCUCCACCUUCACCUGCCUCAUCAUCGUCUGCUUCACCUUCACCUACCUCACCUUCUCUUGAUCCUCCUUUGCCAGACAUCAUAAAACAAAUAAAGGCAGAAAAUGAAGCCCUCAAAUUGGAAUUAGAGGAACUAAAAACAAAUGUUGUCAGUCAAAUGCCAAAACUCCUUUGUACGAUGGGCAAGCUGGGGAAAUGGCUUGACGCAAAAGAGCAGAGCCCACAGGAACAACUGGUAUCACCUUCCAGCAUACAGGAAACUCUUGAAAUUCACCCGGGCUCAGGAGUUUAUGCUCCAAAAAAAUGUGUUGUGGUCAGCUAGCCAUGCAAACAGCCCGACUACCAUGGCACGGAUGCUUCUCAUUGGAGUUUUUGAUAUUGAGACACUACUAAAGAGCAAUCUCAGAGAUUGAACAUCAUAUCCCUGCGAUGGACUGGCGACCUGUCCAGGGUGUCCCCCGCCUUUCGCCCUAUGUUAGCUGGGAUAGGCUCCAGCCCCCCGCGACCCUGUACACAGGAUAAGCGGUUGACGAUGGAUGGAUGGAUGGAUGGAUGAACAUCAUAUCUGAAGUCUUUGGUGGGGAAGUCCAAAAAUGCAAGCCCUGGGGAAACAAAAGAGCCAUUGGACAGAAUAAAAAUUGAUGCGAUAAUGAGUAUGUAUAUUACUUGGUUAAUUGGGCUUGAAUUGUGUAAAACCAAAUGUGACAGUAAAACCAUCAGAAUUGAUCAGUUUCAGCUUGUUGUUUCCAUGUGAUGACACUUACACUGGGUUCUGAAUAAUGCUUAAAUUUUGAGAUGGUCCUCACUGCAGAACCCUAAAUCCUAACCCUUACAUAUACCUAAUCCUACCCAUCUCCACCCCUGAUCCCUAAACCCACCCCUAAUCCUACCCAUCUCCACCCCUGAUCCCUAAACCCACCCCUAAUCCUACCCAUCUCCACCCCUUAGAUCUGGAUCCAACUCUGCCCCCUGGAUCUCGUGUACUGCAAUGAGGUGCUACUGUAAAUUUCAGUAACAUUAAGUUUGUUAUCUACCAAACAAUGUAUGUACUGUGUUAAUUUAGUGUUUUGGGUGAUUAUAAUUUGUCUGUCUUUAGAUAAAUGUUAUAAAACUAAAAUGCUUUUCUUUGUCUUUUAUACAGAUGCAGUGAUCCAGAAAUUUCCAGGAACUACCAGGGGCCAAUUAGGGGUGGCAAUUAAUCAGAAGGUCACUAAGCUGCGGUCAUCCAAAAAGGCUCAAAAUUAAAAAAUGAACAGGCUGUAUCUUACCUGUUGGUUGAUUUUCCUGUUCUUGUCUUGUUUUAUGUUUUGUUCUAAUAUUGUAUUUGUAUAAUACAGUUGUGUGUUGAGUGUUCAGUAGUUUUCA